UCCUGAGUGUCAUUAUUCAUUUUGAGUAUUCUGUGGCCUCAGGUUGUAGCUGAGCUUCCUCAGUGAAUGCAGCUGAUCUGAACCAGGGCUGCCUUACCCCCCUUCUCACUCCCUUCGUGAAAUCCACAAGAAGAAACUACUGAUGGAAGGUGGCCAGAUAACAGAAACUACACCAGAGUACUGUGACAGAGUUUGAACAAGGGGGCACUGUUUCUUGGAAACUGCUGGAAACACUUAUCUCCCCUUCCUUUGGGCUGAAACUGUUAUCUGAUAUAAUUACACAACAUUCAAGUGCAGGAGUGCAGGAAGAAGUGAUAAAAUCAAGAACAGCUUUAAUGAGGCCAGAAAAGGAAGAAAAACUGAGUCAACUCAGAGGAACUUCAAGGUCCUUUUGGUGCUAUUCAAGCAAAGAAAUGGGAAUACUGCUAAAACAGAAGAAGCUGGGCGGAGUCAGAGGGUUGAUUUGGAACUAGCAGAGCAUUCAGUGGUUUCAGCAGGGAGCCCUCAAGUUAGAUGGUGUCAGGAACACAUGGAGGAAUUUGGGAUCUUUGAUGUGGAGAGGAAACGACCAAAUGUCCACACCCGCCCUGCCGCCCGUCAGCUGCCGCUGCGGGUCUCAGCACUGAGACUCAGAUGGGGUUUCACCUCCUCUAGCCGAGUUAAUCCCUCUUCACUUCCAUUUCCUUCCACCCCGACUUUGCUCUUCUCCGUGAAUUUAGUUGGAGCCAGAUCACACACCCCCGCUCCGGGCUCCCCUUCCCUGGAAGCAGGAACUGGAGUGACCCCGGCAAGCCCCAGGAGAAGAGAGAAUCAGCGAGCCCCCGGCGGUCGCCGUGGUUCUGCUGUCGCUGUGCGCCAGCACAAGCAGCAAAUUCCAAGAAGAUGCGAUCAUCGGGAGCUCUGUGAAGACAGGAAAGUGGUUACAAAUGCUCUUUGCCUCAAAGAGAGAGAGAAGAAACAACACUCUGGCUGCAGCUGCACCUCGUGCUUUCUGAUUAAUCUGCUGUUUAGAAACAUUUGCUGUGGUACCCGUGCAUAGGUAGAGGUGAAAACAAACACACCGAUGGAUGCAAAGGGACUGCUUUAUCUCCAGCCAACACAAACAGAGCCUACUUCCAGUGUGAAUACAAAGUCUUCCUACAAAAGGGAUCAGAGAUUGAGGUUUCUUCCUCAGAGCUGUCUACAUUGCACAGUCAGGGAGAGAAAAAUUUGCUAGGGUAUAUGGCAUGACCAUCCACGUGUGGGAUCUAGGAUUUUAAAUGUCAAAGUCCUCCAUGCUUCAAAUACAGCACCUUCUUUAAAAACUGAUGCUACUCAGUAGGCAAAUAUGUCUCAGCAGCAGCAGCAUAUUUUCCUCAGUCUUCUGGCCUAAAUUGUCUCUGUUUUCAUAACAUGCUGCAUAUGCAUCUGUUUGCCCAAAGAGGAGGGAGCAAGUGCUCACAAGCAGCCCUAUCAUGACAGUAAAUGGCAGAAUGAACAAAGUUAAAAGUUCUGUGAAAUGUUUAAUUUCCAGUUCAAUGGCAACAUUCUCCAUACGCGGUUCAGUAGGAAACUAUUGGGCCAGCUGAGAUGAAAAGAGAUGCAGAAAGAAAAUACUAAUCAUAAAUCAAAGAUGGUUUGGGUUGGAAGGAGCUUUAAAAAUCAUCUCGUUCCAACUCCCUGCCAUGGGCAGGGAUGCCAUCCACUAUUCCAGGUUGCUCAGAGCCCCAUCCAACCUGUCCUUGAACACUAAUUGAAGCCUCCCAAGCCAGUUUGACCCAGCCUUCCAUGCUCCACCUGGAGCUAUGUGUUCACAGCACAUCUCUGUAUCUCCCUGGUGAGUCCCUUGUUCCAGAUGCUUUAGGGAAGUGCACAUCCCUGAGCUUCUCUCUCACACUCCAUUGCUGCAAGUCUGAAUGCAUCCUUUUCUGCCCCAGUCUGAAAAGGCCAGCAAAAACCACAGAAUCUGGCCUCGUUUUUGAUAUCUGACAUUCCUUAUUUUCAUUAUCAAAAAGUUUUCUUGAAGCCUUGAAUUUGCCACAGUAGGUAUCCUUUCAAAAUCCGCCAAGUUUGCUGUAGAAAAAACAGAUAACAUUACCUUGGUAUUUGCGGUAUUCCUUGUGCUGCUCUUCCCACUUCAGCGGAAGACUGCUGAGGAUGUUUAGGGAAAGGCUAAGAUAAAUGUUCCUCAAUAUCAAAAUAAACAAUAGAGGCUAAUGUGCA
Molecule: long non-coding RNA, 2202 nt
Organism: Parus major (Great Tit)
Lineage: Eukaryota; Metazoa; Chordata; Aves; Passeriformes; Paridae
Source: Ensembl